AACCUUCUCACAUCUUUAUUUGAAAGGCACAGCUAAGCCCACCCUCGACACAGCAUUGUCACUUCUCCGCAGCGAUCAGACGACUGAGCACAACAAAAGCUGACAGUCUAAAAGGCUAUAUACAGACACAGGUGUGGGUGUUGCUUGUUUUUUUUUUUUUAAACAUUUUUCUGUCUUUUUUUUUUCCCCCGUAAUAUCCCUUUUCUUAAAAGACAAGCUAGUAUACUGGAAAAAGGAAAAAAAUAAAAACCAAGACAACUUGAGUACCCUCAUCUUUAUUCGGGAAGGGGAGAAAGGGAAUUCUGGGACGCCCGCCCCCCCCUCCCCCUGCUCCUGGCUAAGCUCACUCUCCCCGCCCCCUCUCCUGCGGGGCGAGGGGCGAGGACAGGUGGGCGUGGGCUCCGGAACGGGCAGAGGAGGUGAGGGAGGGGGGAGGACGGGAGGGGGGGGUGGUGCCCAGGGCAGGAAGGGGCAGCUAGCGUGUUGUCUGCAUGCAGUGCCGGGGUGAGAGGCUGGGGGGCGCGCCCUGAGGGGCCCUGCGGGCGGACGUCAGGUGUGCGCAUGUGCGGACGGGGAAGUGCAGGGGUGCGGGGCUUCUGGAGGCUUUGCUCUCCUCUGACCUGGCUUCCCGUUUGUGCCUCCAGGCCUCAGCUUGCCUCCGGUGUGGAAUGAGCGUGAGCAAGGUAUUCACCCACUCAGGCUGCAGGGGUGGGGGGUGGAGGAGGAGGAGGAGGAGGAGGAGGAAGGAGGCCGGGGGUGUGAGCGAAGCUAGGGGCGGCACACAGGCAGGGCUAGGGCCCCAGCAGGCGGCUACCAUAAAUACUACCGAGUUCAGCCAAUCCC
This 843-nucleotide long non-coding RNA is filed under the name Lynx pardinus (Iberian lynx). The record is from RNAcentral. Lineage: Eukaryota; Metazoa; Chordata; Mammalia; Carnivora; Felidae.